This is a non-coding RNA of Trichonephila inaurata madagascariensis, 64 nucleotides long. The record is from the annotation of a GenBank genome assembly. NCBI's taxonomy places the organism in Eukaryota, Metazoa, Arthropoda, Arachnida, Araneae, Nephilidae.
GUAGCGCGAUGAAUAGCACGUUGGACUUCUAAUCCAAAGGUCGUGGGUUCGAAUUCCAUCACCU